Molecule: ribosomal RNA, 765 nt
Filed under: uncultured Streptococcus sp.
Lineage: Bacteria; Bacillati; Bacillota; Bacilli; Lactobacillales; Streptococcaceae
Description: bacterial SSU rRNA
Rfam family: Bacterial small subunit ribosomal RNA
Source: RNAcentral
GACGAACGCUGGCGGCGUGCCUAAUACAUGCAAGUAGAACGCUGAAGAGAGGAGCUUGCUCUUCUUGGAUGAGUUGCGAACGGGUGAGUAACGCGUAGGUAACCUACCUGGUAGCGGGGGAUAACUAUUGGAAACGAUAGCUAAUACCGCAUAAGAGUAGAUAUCGCAUGAUAUGUGCUUAAAAGGUGCAAUUGCAUCACUACCAGAUGGACCUGCGUUGUAUUAGCUAGUUGGUGAGGUAACGGCUCACCAAGGCAACGAUACAUAGCCGACCUGAGAGGGUGAUCGGCCACACUGGGACUGAGACACGGCCCAGAUUCCUACGGGAGGCAGCAGUAGGGAAUCUUCGGCAAUGGACGGAAGUCUGACCGAGCAACGCCGCGUGAGUGAAGAAGGUUUUCGGAUCGUAAAGCUCUGUUGUAAGAGAAGAACGAGUGUGAGAGUGGAAAGUUCACACUGUGACGGUAUCUUACCAGAAAGGGACGGCUAACUACGUGCCAGCAGCCGCGGUAAUACGUAGGUCCCGAGCGUUGUCCGGAUUUAUUGGGCGUAAAGCGAGCGCAGGCGGUUAGAUAAGUCUGAAGUUAAAGGCUGUGGCUUAACCAUAGUACGCUUUGGAAACUGUUUAACUUGAGUGCAAGAGGGGAGAGUGGAAUUCCAUGUGUAGCGGUGAAAUGCGUAGAUAUAUGGAGGAACACCGGUGGCGAAAGCGGCUCUCUGGCUUGUAACUGACGCUGAGGCUCGAAAGCGUGGGGAGCAAACAGG